This 125-nucleotide small RNA is filed under the name Marmota monax (woodchuck). The record is from RNAcentral. Lineage: Eukaryota; Metazoa; Chordata; Mammalia; Rodentia; Sciuridae.
GCCAGGUGCAGUGGUGCAAGCCUGUAAUCCCAGCAGCUCAGGAGGCUGAGACAGGAGGAUCGCAAUUUCAAAGCCAGCCUCAGCAAAAGUGAGGCGCUAAGCAACUCAGUGAGACCCUGUCUCUA